Long non-coding RNA from Pan paniscus (pygmy chimpanzee), 791 nucleotides. Lineage: Eukaryota; Metazoa; Chordata; Mammalia; Primates; Hominidae. The record is from Ensembl.
UAUAACGUGAAAUUGGUAAAUUAAAGGUUAUCUCAAUUCUGAAUUAUAAAAAAAAAGACGGCCGGGCAUGAUGGCUCACGCCUGUAAUCCCAGCACUUUGGGAGGCCGAGGUGGGUGGAUCAUGAGGUCAGGAGAUCGAGAAUAUCCUGGCCAACAUGGUGAAACUCUGUCUCUACUAAAAAUCCAAAAAUUAGCUGGGUGUGGUGGUGCAUGACUAUGGUCCCAGCUACUCAGGAGGCUGAGGCAGGAGAAUCACUUGAACCCGGGAGGUGGAGGUUGCAGUGAGCUGAGAUCGCGCCACUGCACUCCAGCCUGGUGACAGAAUGAGACUCCGUCUACAAAAAAAAAAAAAAAAAGAAAAGAAAAGGGAAGAAAGAAAAAUGACAAAGACAGUAUUUAAGUACAAUGUGUGCUAAUAUUAUCUUAGUUUUGUCCUUAGAAACAGCACAUGCCUGGGGAAGUUAUGGAGGUUAUGCAAUCAGCAAACUUAGAAACGUGUUGCUUAACUUCAAAAUUGCGUGGUGGGAAACGUUUCUUGGAGGCCUGAUUUUUUCUAACCAGUUUAUACAAAUGACAACUGCGGUCCCAUCCACUCCAAUCUGUGGAUUUGGUGAACAUGAACAUCUAUCCUUUAAGCAUGACAUGAAUUUUGUUAAAUAUGGAAUGUUUUCCAGAGCUCACUCACCAACGGUAAUAUGAUGUUCAGUAUUGUGAUGUCGACUGCAUGGAACGUCAGAUGGACUUCAUAUAUGAUGAGGACAAAUUUGAUGGUCUGCCUGAGUACAUUAAGG